GCGUCCAACCGCUCAACCAUCUCUAUCUUAUUUUCUACACGCGUGCUCAGCUCUUAGCAAAUUCUGGGCGUUCUUCUCUCUGUACGCGGCUGCCAGCACACACCGCCGAGUCCGCGUGGCUGCUCAGCCAGUACUGCUCACGCCAGCACAACAGUGAUCAGCCAACACUUAUCCUCAACUCCAACUCGUUCAGCCGGUUCUUCAUCCGUCGUCCACAGGCUUCAGACGUAGCUCGCCAGCUUCGACCUCCGCCCUGCCCUUGACCCCACUCGCCCGUUCUUGUUCCCGACGCUCGAGCUCACCUCAGCUUCGCUGUGCCCCUGCGUUCGGCCUCUUCCCUCCACCAGCGGACGUCCUCGGUCUCGCUUUCCUCGCCGUGGCAAGGCCCCGGCCACGACGUCAUCCCCCUGUGAGCCUCAUUGCUGUGUCGCUUGCCUGCACCCUCUUUGUUCGAUGAAAUGGUCAAGUCGAUAACUAUUGCUGUUGCUCACAGCUAAGCUAGCUGUUGAAGUCGUGCCUCGCAUACGCCUAUUCGAUGAAAUGCCCAAACGUCACGUCCGCUCCUUGUCCCAACACCCUGUCACAAUUCCGUGCGUUGCCGGUGAGACAUCGAUUUUCUUCUAUUCAAUUAGUUCUUUGCUUGGUGUCAAUGAUUAACUGUGGUUUAUGUUUGUGUACUAGUGUGUGUUUCGGAAGAGAGGAAUCCCAUAUAUGUGAGGACAGGCAAUCCGUGCAAUAGUUGUUUGAUGUUUGGUGUUAUGCGCAAAUCAGAAAUCGUCAUCAUUAUCCCAAAUAUCGAUUUGGUUUGUGAUAUGGUGAGCCCUCUCGCUACCUUGGCUAGUUAAUUUGAUCGAUGAAUUGAUUACAGUUGCCAACGAUGAUUCUUCUUGUUUUUAGCGCAAGCAUAUUGUGUGUUAUCUUUUAGACCCAUUGUUGCACUUAUAUGCGAUGUUACAUGGUGAUUGAGUUAAUUGUUCUUGUGCUCACAAACAAAAAUUUCCUAUGUGUACAGUUUUAAUUGUGCAACUAAUCUAGUAAAGCAAACUACGUUUUCUGUAAAGAUGUUUUAUAUAAAAUUAGUAGGUAACCUCCCCAUCUUUCUUGUGUUAAAUUUUCAUGACCAUAGGUUUAAUAGUUUAAGAGUUAUGAUUUUCCCAAGUCCAGUUUCAGAAUCUGUCCAGAUUCUGUACUGAUUUCGAAAAUUGCUUUGUUUGACUAAAUUAAACUUAGAAUCAGACCUUAGUAAUUACAGAAGAAUUGUAGUACUUUUCUUAAGUUUUCCAACAAAUUUUGGAAUACCCUUUUUGGUGGUCUAGAGACCAAGUUACAGCUAUUUGAACUAUAGAGUCUGAAUCUGUCCAAAUCUGGACAGCAAUGCUUGUUUGUAUGAACUGACUUUGAUACACAUUGAAUCACCCUGAGAUGUUUAUAAAUGAAUUGUCGACAAUUCUAUCAGAUUUCUAAAAAGUCUAGGAUCACCUGAUUUGGAUUUUUAAAACUUCAGUUAUGAAUUUUUGAAGUAAGUGGUCGAAUUCUGUCCAAAUCUGGACAGAAUUAAAGUUUAGCACUGUUUGACCUUUUAAACUGUCGAAUCAGGUUAUGAUGAUAAUAUAAGAGUUAUAGAGGACUUUCUAAGCUUUCCAGAAAGUCCUAGUUUACUAUUUUUGGAUGCAUAUUUUGUGAGUUAUGAAUAAAACAAUUAAUCGCUGUGCUGCUGUCUAAAAAUUCUGCAAGUAUUAAAUUGUUGGCUUGAAGUUACUAUUGUUUGGCUAAGUAAGUUUAGCUGAUUCUUAAUUGGUGAAGUGAUGCUUUGUUUUAGUAAUUAUCAUGUUCUAUGGUUGUUGAUUGAGUAAAUAUGAUAAAUGGAGAUUGGUCGCUUAAGUUAAUCAUCUUGAAUAAAUGUUCCUCACUAUUCUUAUUAGUUGGAAGUAAAUAGCAUCAAUACGUUUAUUCUAGUUGUAAUCCGAGAGCUAUAUAGUGGGAAGUGCAUUUAGGCGCUUAAAGUCUUUUGCUUCUAGGUUAUAAUCAAAUGAGAUUAUGUAAUAUUUGAUGAUGCUCCACUUGCUAGGACAAAUAGUGUGAUGUGUUAUUUAGCUCGUGCGCUAUGCUAGUUAAUCCGAUGAAAUGGUUUAAAAAGUUAGUUAAAGUAUUUCUAUUCAAAUUCGAAGCCGUAGAUGUCUAAGGCUAAUAAGUUUAAAUUAUGGUAAUCGUUUGGUGUAUGUUCUAGUUAAAGAAGAUCCAUACAUGGUUCACGAUUGUUUGGUGUUUAAGUUAGGUUCGAUUGAUUAGAAGAUCAUGCUUGUUGUGUUAGAGUUAAGGUAUCUAGUGAUUAUUUAUGCUUGCUUAUAAUGUUUUGCUAGAGAAUGUUUAAUCCUAUACCAUAUAACUUCAUAUAAUAUUGUACUAGUUCUUAUGUUCAUACAUGUGCAACCUACAUCCAAAUAGGUACACUAGCUGAAAAAUCGUGCGAAGCGAAGGGUGUGGAUCAAAACAACCCACAAGACGAUGUCGGCCGAUGAGCCCGAAGAUGGAUGGACUAAGCAGAUGUCAGAACAAAAGUUGAUCGUCAACUGGCCUUCAUUUAACAACACUAACGUAGUGUUAUCCCAGGUAAGCCCCGGUGCAUUUGCCACCUCCUUGUUGUUUUUAAAACUUUUAUCACUUAUGUGACAGAAUCUCCCAAGUAAUUAGGCCCACCUACAGUUGUCCUUGUCCAACAGACAUCAGACAACCCUGUAGAUGUUCCUGAAUCACUCGACAAGUUCGGUAUCUUCUUUCUUACCUUUCCAGGAACGUUUUACCCGUCUUGCAGACAUUACAGAACAUCGGAGAUAUAGAAAUGCGGAAGCGAUUACAUAAACUUACAUUUAUUUAGAAAGUAAGAUCAAGUUACUUAUUACAGAUAUGAAACGAGUGCUGAAUAGUAUUAUUACAAUACCAAGGGAGGCAAAAACUCCUCCCGAUAGUUUUUAUAAAGUCCUAAUGGAGGAUCCUUUCCUCCCGCACUUCAUUCCUUGCGUUCUUCCUUUGGUUAUGACUCAACCUGAUAAUUCUCUGAUCAGUGUUGAGAGUUGCUUUGUGUCUGGCUAACCAAUUCAUGCCCAAAAUAACAUCUAUAUCUUGGCCUUUCAGAACGAUCAUAUUAGUAGGAAAGUCCCGUCCGGCCAAAGUUACGGGCACUUGAUAGGCCACUUCUCUAGUAAAUAUUUGUCCCCCUGGUGAGUGAAUUUUAAACCCCUCUUUUGAUUCAUGGCAUGAGAUGCAAUGUUGCUCCACAAAUUUCUUGCUGAUGAAUGUAUGCGAAGCACCAGAAUCAAAGAGAAUAACUGCGGGAUGAUUGGCCACAAGAAACGUACCCAUCAUUACCGGCUCACCGUCCGGCGUAGUGGCCACUUGCGUAUAAUAUAUGUGUCCCGUCUUCUUAGUAUUUUUGCCCACAGUAUUUCCCUUGGCUUGAGAUGAAUUUCCAGAUCCUUGCUAAUUAUUUGACUGGUUCUGCUUUGGAUAAGGGCAAUCCUUGAUAAAAUGCCCAGACUUCCACAAUUGAAACAUCCAGUUGAUGAGCUGGGCAAAGCAGAGAAUCGAGUGCCUGGGGCACCCGGCUGACUUGAUGCAGUAGGGGCAUUAUUGGGACGAAUAAAGAUUGGCCGCUUAAAAGGGAAGGAGGGUGGACGAGAGAAAGAACAAUUCUGGUUGGAGGCCGGAUGACAACCCGUUGCUUCUUCACCGGGCCCUGACUAGGCCUGUCACCUCCAAAACCCUUGGAUUUUCCAGCACCUGCAUACUUUGCUUCUACUGCUAGUGCUGUACUGACAGCUCUUCCAUAAGUAAGAUCUAUGCAGGUUGCCAUCUUUCUUUGCAGUCGGUCAUUUAACCCUCUCAUAAAGCAAUUCUUCUUCUUCUUCAAAUCAAUGUUCACUUGAUCGAUUGCAUAUUGUGACAAAUGAUUGAAUUUAUUGAGAUACUGAUUAACAGUAUCCCCUCCUUGUUUCAGCUUCAUAAAUUCUUCUUGCUUCAUGUGAAGAACACCUUCUGGUAUGUAAUGUUCGCGGAAGGCCACCUUGAAUUCUUCCCAAGUUAUCUGAUGAUUGGCCGGUUGAACGGCCACAAAAUUACCCCACCAAGUGUUGGCAGGUCCGCGCAGUUGCUGGGCUGCGAAUAAAGGCUUCUGGGUUUCUGAACAUCGCAGCAGUCCGAACUUUUGCUCGAUCACACGAAGCCAUUCAUCUGCUUCUAACGGGUCUUCGGCUUUGACAAACAGCGGGAGUCGCGUCUCUGAGAAGUCCAUGUAAGAGGUUUCACGGGGGCCCUGUUGAUAACCCCGCCCGCCUUGUUGUGGAAACUGUUGACUCGCCAUCUCUCUCAGAAAACGGGUAUUAUCCGCGGUUGCAUUUACCAAGGCGGCAAUCGCCUCGGCCAGUGUGGGAGGAAUAUGAGGUGGAUUUGGGGUAGACUCCCUCCCACUGGAAGUUCCAGCUGUAUCCUGUGAUCGGGUCUUGGACGACAUCUGUGGCAACAACAUUGGGAAACAAUAUGAUAUGCCAAAGAAAAACCAUCCAUUUUACAUUACCAAAAGUAUUGUACAGACUCGGAUUUUUACAACAGGAUACAUUACCUAUUAUACAAAUACACUACCUAUUAUACAAUAGUACAACCUGUUAUACAAUACACUACUUCUAUUUCAACUACUACACCACUAUUCCUGCUUUCCGUUGCUUUUGGCAGCCUCGUCGUCGGGUGUGGGAGACCAUUCGUCGACCAACCUCAUAGAUGGAGGUGGCUGAAAAAGGUCUAACUCACCACCAAGCGUGUGUCCCGCAACAUGCGAGGGUCCGGCUUCCGACUCAACAC
Molecule: long non-coding RNA, 4851 nt
Filed under: Zea mays
Lineage: Eukaryota; Viridiplantae; Streptophyta; Magnoliopsida; Poales; Poaceae
Description: long non-coding RNA (ZMAY_LNC002949)
Source: RNAcentral